Molecule: ribosomal RNA, 271 nt
Filed under: uncultured bacterium
Lineage: Bacteria
Description: partial 16S ribosomal RNA
Rfam family: Bacterial small subunit ribosomal RNA
Source: RNAcentral
UACGGAGGGUGCAAGCAUUAAUCGGAUUUAUUGGGCGUAAAGGGCGCGUAGGCGGGGAGACAAGUCAGAUGUGAAAUCCCGAGGCUCAACCUCGGAACAGCAUUUGAAACUAUCUUUCUUGAGGGUAGGAGGAGAAAACGGAAUUCCACAAGUAGCGGUGAAAUGCGUAGAUAUGUGGAAGAACACCGGUGGCGAAGGCGGUUUUCUAUCUUAUUCCUGACGCUGAGGCGCGAAAGCAAGGGGAUCAAACAGGAUUAGAAACCCGAGUAGU